This 494-nucleotide ribosomal RNA is filed under the name uncultured bacterium. RNAcentral describes it as "partial 16S ribosomal RNA". It matches the Rfam family "Bacterial small subunit ribosomal RNA", at positions 28 to 507 of the family's 1533-position model. The record is from RNAcentral.
GACGAACGCUGGCGGCGUGCUUAACACAUGCAAGUCGAACGGUGAAGCGCCUUCCUUUUUGGUGGGUGUGGAUGAGUGGCGAACGGGUGAGUAACACGUGAGUAACCUGCCCCCUUCUUCUGGAUAACCGCAUGAAAGUGUGGCUAAUACGGGAUAUUCUGGGUCUGUCGCAUGAUGGGUCUGGGAAAGAUAUUGUUUCGGUGGGGGAUGGGCUCGCGGCCUAUCAGCUUGUUGGUGGGGUGAUGGCCUACCAAGGCGGUGACGGGUAGCCGGCCUGAGAGGGUGGACGGUCACACUGGGACUGAGGCACGGCCCAGACUCCUACAGGAGGCAGCAGUGGGGAAUAUUGCACAAUGGGCGCAAGCCUGAUGCAGCGACGCCGCGUGAGGGAUGGAGGCCUUCGGGUUGUGAACCUCUUUCGCCAGUGAAGCAGGCCUGCCUCGUUUGUGGGUGGGUUGACGGUAGCUGGAUAAGAAGCGCCGGCUAACUACGUG